UAGGGAAUCUUCCGCAAUGGGCGAAAGCCUGACGGAGCAACGCCGCGUGAGUGAUGAAGGUCUUCGGAUCGUAAAACUCUGUUAUUAGCGAAGAACAAAUGUGUAAGUAACUAUGCACGUCUUGACGGUACCUAAUCAGAAAGCCACGGCUAACUACGUGCCAGCAGCCGCGGUAAUACGUAGGUGGCAAGCGUUAUCCGGAAUUAUUGGGCGUAAAGCGCGCGUAGGCGGUUUUUUAAGUCUGAUGUGAAAGCCCACGGCUCAACCGUGGAGGGUCAUUGGAAACUGGAAAACUUGAGUGCAGAAGAGGAAAGUGGAAUUCCAUGUGUAGCGGUGAAAUGCGCAGAGAUAUGGAGGAACACCAGUGGCGAAGGCGACUUUCUGGUCUGUAACUGACGCUGAUGUGCGAAAGCGUGGGGAUCAAACAGG
This 429-nucleotide ribosomal RNA is filed under the name Actinomycetes bacterium. RNAcentral describes it as "Actinobacteria bacterium partial 16S ribosomal RNA". It matches the Rfam family "Bacterial small subunit ribosomal RNA", at positions 355 to 776 of the family's 1533-position model. The record is from RNAcentral. Lineage: Bacteria; Bacillati; Actinomycetota; Actinomycetes.